AUGCAAGUCGAGCGAGAAAGCCCGCAAGGGUGAGUAAAGCGGCGCACGGGUGAGUAACACGUGGGUAAUCUGCCCUGGAGUCCGGAAUAACCCGCCGAAAGGCGUGCUAAUGCCGGAUAAGACCACGGGAGCUUCGGCCUCCGCGGGAAAAGGUGGCCUCUGUACACAAGCUAUCACUCCAGGAUGAGCCCGCGGCCCAUCAGCUAGUUGGCGGGGUAACGGCCCACCAAGGCUACGACGGGUAGCUGGUCUGAGAGGACGAUCAGCCACACUGGAACUGAGACACGGUCCAGACUCCUACGGGAGGCAGCAGUGGGGAAUCUUGCGCAAUGGGCGAAAGCCUGACGCAGCAACGCCGCGUGUGUGAUGAAGGUCUUCGGAUCGUAAAGCACUGUCGCGAGGGACGAAUAAGGGCCGGGCGAACAACCCAGUCCGAUGACGGUACCUCGAGAGGAAGCACCGGCUAACUCUGUGCCAGCAGCCGCGGUAAUACAGAGGGUGCAAGCGUUGUUCGGAAUUAUUGGGCGUAAAGCGCGUGUAGGCAGGCCCAGCAAGUCAGGUGUGAAAGCCCUCGGCUUAACCGAGGAAGUGCGCCUGAAACUACUGAGCUUGAGUACCGGAGAGGACAGCGGAAUUCCCGGUGUAGAGGUGAAAUUCGUAGAUAUCGGGAGGAACACCAGCGGCGAAGGCAGGCCAUCUGGACAGGUCACUGACGCUGAGACGCGAAAGCGUGGGGAGCAAACAGGAUUAGAUACACUGGUAGUCCACGCUGUAAACGAUGAGCGCUAGGUGUUGUGGGUGUUGACCCCCGCAGUGCCGCAGCUAACGCAU
RNAcentral lists this ribosomal RNA (831 nucleotides) under uncultured Myxococcales bacterium. RNAcentral describes it as "bacterial SSU rRNA". It matches the Rfam family "Bacterial small subunit ribosomal RNA", at positions 55 to 860 of the family's 1533-position model. Lineage: Bacteria; Pseudomonadati; Myxococcota; Myxococcia; Myxococcales. The record is from RNAcentral.